RNAcentral lists this unclassified non-coding RNA (357 nucleotides) under soil metagenome. RNAcentral's name for it is "partial contains 5.8S ribosomal RNA, internal transcribed spacer 2, and large subunit ribosomal RNA". The stretch from base 1 to 120 matches the Rfam family "5.8S ribosomal RNA", at positions 35 to 154 of the family's 154-position model. The record is from RNAcentral.
GAUGAAGGACGUAGCGAAAUGCGAUAAGUAAUGUGAAUUGCAGAAUUCAGUGAAUCAUCGAAUCUUUGAACGCACAUUGCGCCCGUCAGUAUUCUGGCGGGCAUGCCUGUUCGAGCGUCAUUACGCCCCUCAAGUCCCCUGUGGACUUGGUGUUGGGGAUCGGCGAGGCUGGUUUUCCAGCACAGCCGUCCCUUAAAUUAAUUGGCGGUCUCGCCGUGGCCCUCCUCUGCGCAGUAGUAAAACACUCGCAACAGGAGCCCGGCGCGGUCCACUGCCGUAAAACCCCCCAACUUUUUAUAGUUGACCUCGAAUCAGGUAGGACUACCCGCUGAACUUAAGCAUAUCAUAAGCGGAGGA